RNAcentral lists this ribosomal RNA (253 nucleotides) under uncultured bacterium. Its description in RNAcentral is "partial 16S ribosomal RNA". It matches the Rfam family "Bacterial small subunit ribosomal RNA", at positions 524 to 776 of the family's 1533-position model. The record is from RNAcentral.
UACGGGGGGGGCAAGCGUUGUUCGGAAUUACUGGGCGUAAAGGGCUCGUAGGCGGCCCUCUCAGUCGGAUGUGAAAUCCCCAGGCUUAACCUGGGAACGGCAUCCGAUACUGGAGGGCUUGAAUUCGGGAGAGGGAUGCAGAAUUCCAGGUGUAGCGGUGAAAUGCGUAGAUAUCUGAAGGAAUACCGGUGGCGAAGGCGGCAUCCUGGACCGAGAUUGACGCUGAGGAGCGAAAGCUAGGGGAGCAAACGGG